GACGAACGCUGGCGGCGUGCUUAACACAUGCAAGUCGAACGGAAAGGCCCUGUACUUGUAGGGUGUUCGAGUGGCGAGCGCGGGUGUAAAACGUGAGUGGACUCUCCUUUACUUUGGGAGAACAUCUGGGAAAUGGAGCGAUUAUCCGGCAGGAGAACCUGCUACACGGGGGGGAAGGGUAAAAGUCGGCGGUGCGGCAUGGACUCGCGGUCUAGCAGCUUGUUGGCGGGGUAGUGGCUUAACAAUGCUUUGACGGGUAGCCGGCCUGAGAGGGUGACCGGCCACAUUGGGACUGAGGUACGGGCCAGACUCCUACGGGAGGCAGCAGUGGGGAAUAUUGCACACUGGGCGGAAGCCUGAUGCAGCAACGCCGCGUGCGGGAUGACGGCCUUCGGGUUGUAACCCGCUUUCGCCUGUGACGAAGCGUGAGUGACGGUAAUGGGUAAAGAAGCACCGGCUAACUACGUG
RNAcentral lists this ribosomal RNA (468 nucleotides) under uncultured bacterium. Its description in RNAcentral is "partial 16S ribosomal RNA". It matches the Rfam family "Bacterial small subunit ribosomal RNA", at positions 28 to 507 of the family's 1533-position model. The record is from RNAcentral.